This 386-nucleotide ribosomal RNA is filed under the name uncultured Glomeromycotina. RNAcentral describes it as "SSU rRNA". It matches the Rfam family "Eukaryotic small subunit ribosomal RNA", at positions 569 to 962 of the family's 1831-position model. Lineage: Eukaryota; Fungi; Glomeromycota. The record is from RNAcentral.
AGCAGCCGCGGUAAUUCCAGCUCCAAUAGCGUAUAUUAAAGUUGUUGCAGUUAAAAGCUCGUAGUUGAAUUUCGGGAUCAGCAGGUCAGUCGUGCCACUGGUAUGUACUGGUCUUGCUGAUUCCUCCCUCUUGACGAACCGUAAUGCCAUUCAUUUGGUGUUGCGGGAAAUCAGGACUGUUACUUUGAAAAAUUGAGUGUUUAAAGCAGGCUUAAGCUUGAAUACAUUAGCAUGGAAUAAUGAAAUAGGACGUUCGAUCCUAUUUUGUUGGUUUCUAGGAUUGACGUAAUGAUUAAUAGGGAUAGUUGGGGGCAUUAGUAUUCAAUUGUCAGAGGUGAAAUUCUUGGAUUUAUUGAAGACUAACUACUGCGAAAGCAUUUGCCAAG